UACGGAGGGUGCGAGCGUUGUUCGGAAUCACUGGGCGUAAAGCGCGUGUAGGCGGCCCAUUAAGUCUGAUGUGAAAGCCCGGGGCUCACCCCCGGAAGUGCAUUGGAAACUGAUGGACUCGAGUCCCGGAGAGGAGAGUGGAAUUCCUGGUGUAGCGGUGAAAUGCGUAGAUAUCUGGAGGAAUACCGGUGGCGAAGGCGGCAUCCUGGACCGACAUUGACGCUGAACGGCGAAAGCUAGGGGAGCAAACGGG
Molecule: ribosomal RNA, 253 nt
Filed under: uncultured bacterium
Lineage: Bacteria
Description: partial 16S ribosomal RNA
Rfam family: Bacterial small subunit ribosomal RNA
Source: RNAcentral